This 29-nucleotide non-coding RNA is filed under the name Mus musculus (house mouse). The record is from RNAcentral. Lineage: Eukaryota; Metazoa; Chordata; Mammalia; Rodentia; Muridae. RNAcentral also lists the same sequence under 5 other names.
GGGUGCGAUCAUACCAGCACUAAUGCACC